CUCAGGGGCAUUGGUUAGUAAUCAGUGGUUUGAUGUCUAAUUGUUAGCUGGUAUCAGGUGGAGUGUCCCAGGGGUCAGUCCUAGGGCUGGUUUUGUUCAA
Gavialis gangeticus (Gharial) is the source of this 100-nucleotide long non-coding RNA. RefSeq lists it as uncharacterized. The transcript is spliced from 3 exons. The record is from RefSeq and is a predicted model, not a curated record. Lineage: Eukaryota; Metazoa; Chordata; Crocodylia; Gavialidae.